Molecule: ribosomal RNA, 445 nt
Filed under: Listeria monocytogenes
Lineage: Bacteria; Bacillati; Bacillota; Bacilli; Caryophanales; Listeriaceae
Description: bacterial SSU rRNA
Rfam family: Bacterial small subunit ribosomal RNA
Source: RNAcentral
AAGAUGGUUUCGGCUAUCGCUUACAGAUGGGCCCGCGGUGCAUUAGCUAGUUGGUAGGGUAAUGGCCUACCAAGGCAACGAUGCAUAGCCGACCUGAGAGGGUGAUCGGCCACACUGGGACUGAGACACGGCCCAGACUCCUACGGGAGGCAGCAGUAGGGAAUCUUCCGCAAUGGACGAAAGUCUGACGGAGCAACGCCGCGUGUAUGAAGAAGGUUUUCGGAUCGUAAAGUACUGUUGUUAGAGAAGAACAAGGAUAAGAGUAACUGCUUGUCCCUUGACGGUAUCUAACCAGAAAGCCACGGCUAACUACGUGCCAGCAGCCGCGGUAAUACGUAGGUGGCAAGCGUUGUCCGGAUUUAUUGGGCGUAAAGCGCGCGCAGGCGGUCUUUUAAGUCUGAUGUGAAAGCCCCCGGCUUAACCGGGGAGGGUCAUUGGAAACUGG